This 1481-nucleotide ribosomal RNA is filed under the name uncultured prokaryote. Its description in RNAcentral is "partial 16S ribosomal RNA". It matches the Rfam family "Bacterial small subunit ribosomal RNA". The record is from RNAcentral.
AGAGUUUGAUCCUGGCUCAGGACGAACGCUGGCGGCGUGCUUAAUGCAUGCAAGUCGAACGAAGAACCCGCUAUGGGUAACCACUGCGGAAUUCUUAGUGGCGAACGGGUGAGUAACACGUGAGAAACCUGCCCCGGAGACCGGAAUAGCCCAGGGAAACCUGGAUUAAUACCGGAUACCCUCCGACGAUCGCAUGAUCGACGGAGGAAAUGGUCCGCCGCUCCGGGAUGGUCUCGCGGCCUAUCAGUUAGUUGGUGAGGUAAUGGCUCACCAAGACUACGACGGGUAGCUGGUCUGAGAGGACGAUCAGCCACACUGGGACUGAGACACGGCCCAGACUCCUACGGGAGGCAGCAGCAGGGAAUUUUGCACAAUGGGCGCAAGCCUGAUGCAGCGACGCCGCGUGGGGGAUGAAUGCCUUCGGGUUGUAAACCCCUUUCAGGAGGGACGAAGCGAAAGUGACGGUACCUCCAGAAGAAGCCCCGGCCAACUACGUGCCAGCAGCCGCGGUAAUACGUAGGGGGCGAGCGUUGUCCGGAUUUAUUGGGCGUAAAGAGCUCGUAGGCGGCUCAGCAAGUCGGCCGUGAAAGCCUGAGGCUCAACCUCAGGACGCCGGUCGAAACUGCUGUGGCUAGGGUUCGGUAGAGGAGAGUGGAAUUCCCGGUGUAGCGGUGAAAUGCGCAGAUAUCGGGAGGAACACCAGUAGCGAAGGCGGCUCUCUGGGCCGAUACCGACGCUGAGGAGCGAAAGCUAGGGGAGCGAACAGGAUUAGAUACCCUGGUAGUCCUAGCUGUAAACGUUGGGCACUAGGUGUGGCGGACUCAUUUGUCAGCGACUGAGCGAAAGCAUUAAGUAAGCCACCUGGGGAGUACGUUCGCAAGAAUGAAACUCAAAGGAAUUGACGGGGGCCCGCACAAGCGGUGGAACAUGUGGUUUAAUUCGAUCAUACGCGAGGAACCUUACCUGGGCUUAAAUGUAGUAUGACCGUACCCGAAAGGGUAUUUCUCUUCGGAGCAAUUUACAAGGUGCUGCAUGGCUGUCGUCAGCUCGUGCCGUGAGGUGUCGGGUUAAGUCCCAUAACGAGCGCAACCCCUAUUCUUAGUUGCCAUCGGGUCAUGCCGGGGACUCUAAGGAGACUGCCAGCGUAAGCUGUGAGGAAGGUGGGGAUGACGUCAAGUCAGCACGGCCCUUACGUCCAGGGCUACACACGUGUUACAAUGGCCAGUACAAAGGGUAGCUACCGGGUGACCGGAUGCGAAUCUCGAAAAACCGGUCUCAGUUCGGAUCGAAGUCUGCAACUCGACUUCGUGAAGUUGGAUUCGCUAGUAAUCGUAUAUCAGCAACGAUACGGUGAAUACGUUCCCGGGCCUUGUACACACCGCCCGUCAAGCCAUGGAAGCUGGGGGUACCUGAAGUCUGUGACCGCAAGGAGCGGCCUAGGGUAAAACUAGUAACUGGGGCUAAGUCGUAACAAGGUAACC